Molecule: ribosomal RNA, 393 nt
Filed under: uncultured bacterium
Lineage: Bacteria
Description: partial 16S ribosomal RNA
Rfam family: Bacterial small subunit ribosomal RNA
Source: RNAcentral
AUACGGAGGAUCCGAGCGUUAUCCGGAUUUAUUGGGUUUAAAGGGAGCGUAGGCGGACGCUUAAGUCAGUUGUGAAAGUUUGCGGCUCAACCGUAAAAUUGCAGUUGAUACUGGGUGUCUUGAGUACAGUAGAGGCAGGCGGAAUUCGAGGUGUAGCGGUGAAAUGCUUAGAUAUCACGAAGAACUCCGAUUGCGAAGGCAGCCUGCUGGACUGUAACGGACGCUGAUGCUCGAAAGUGUGGGUAUCAAACAGGAUUAGAUGCCCUGGUAGUCCACACAGUAAACGAUGAAUGCUCGCUGUUUGCGAUAUACAGUAAGCGGCCAAGCGAAAGCGUUAAGUAGUCCGCCUGGGGAGUACGCCGGCAACGGUGAAACUCAAAGGAAUUGACGGGG